GACGAACGCUGGCGGCGUGCUUAACACAUGCAAGUCGAACGGAAAGGCCCUGCUUGCAGGGUACUCGAGUGUCGAACGGGUGAGUAACACGUGUGUGAUCUGCGCUGCACUUCGUGAUAAGCCUUGGAAACUGGGGCUAAUACCGGAUAGGAGCCAUUUUGUUGGUGAUUGUUGGAAAGUUUUUUCGGUGUAGGAUGAGCUCGCGGCCUAUCUGCUUGUUGGUGGGGUAAUGGCCUAACAAGGCGGCGACGGGUAGCCGGCCUGAGUGGGUGGACGGGCACAUUGGGACUGGGAUACGGCCCAGACUCCUACGGGAGGCAGCAGGGGGGAAUAUUGCACAAUGGGCGCGAGCCUGAUGCAGCGAAGCCGCGUGGGGGAUGACGGGCUUCGGGUUGUAAACUCCUUUCGCUAGGGACGAAGCUUUUUGUGACGGUACCUAGAUAAGAAGCACCGGCUAACUACGUG
Molecule: ribosomal RNA, 465 nt
Filed under: uncultured bacterium
Lineage: Bacteria
Description: partial 16S ribosomal RNA
Rfam family: Bacterial small subunit ribosomal RNA
Source: RNAcentral